CCUACGGGAGGCAGCAGUGGGGAAUAUUGCACAAUGGGGGAAACCCUGAUGCAGUGACGCCGCGUGAGUGAAGAAGUAUCUCGGUACGUAAAGCUCUAUCAGCACGGAAGAAAAUGACGUUACCUGACUAAGUAGCCCUGUCUAACUACGAGCCAGCAGCCGCGGUAAUACGUAGGGGGCCAGCGUUAUCCGGAUUUACUGGGUGUACAGGGAGCGUAGACGGCAGCACAAGUCUGCAGUGAAAUCGCGGGGCUUAACCCCGGAACUGCUUUGGAAACUGGCCGGCUGGAGUGCAGGCGGGGUAAGCGGAAUUCGUCGUGUAGCGGUGAAAUGCGUAGAUAUGAGGAGGAACACCGAUUGCGAAGGCGGCUUACUGGACUGGAACUGACGCUGAGGCUCGAAAGCGUGGGGAGCAAACAGGAUUAGAUACCCGUGUAGUC
RNAcentral lists this ribosomal RNA (440 nucleotides) under uncultured bacterium. RNAcentral's name for it is "partial 16S ribosomal RNA". It matches the Rfam family "Bacterial small subunit ribosomal RNA", at positions 338 to 795 of the family's 1533-position model. The record is from RNAcentral.